CCUGCUCUGCCAGGCAUAUUAAGUCAGUGAAGCGCAAGUCCCUUUGGUUUAGGGGGCGUAUAUGAGCCUGACAAAGAGCGAUUUCUUUUAGGUCAACACACACACAUGCACCUUUGCAUCUUAUUUAUAUGGUAUUUGCUGACCGUGCUUCAAAACAAGUCAACCAAUCAAGGUGGCCAAAUAUUCCAGGGUGGCAUUUGCAGUUGUUUUGAACUAAUGAUCUGUGUACCUGUGCC
Molecule: non-coding RNA, 236 nt
Organism: Chelonoidis abingdonii (Abingdon island giant tortoise)
Lineage: Eukaryota; Metazoa; Chordata; Testudines; Testudinidae
Source: RefSeq, a predicted model, not a curated record